This 253-nucleotide ribosomal RNA is filed under the name Escherichia coli. Its description in RNAcentral is "partial 16S ribosomal RNA". It matches the Rfam family "Bacterial small subunit ribosomal RNA", at positions 1 to 250 of the family's 1533-position model. The record is from RNAcentral. Lineage: Bacteria; Pseudomonadati; Pseudomonadota; Gammaproteobacteria; Enterobacterales; Enterobacteriaceae.
AAAUUGAAGAGUUUGAUCAUGGCUCAGAUUGAACGCUGGCGGCAGGCCUAACACAUGCAAGUCGAACGGUAACAGGAAGCAGCUUGCUGCUUCGCUGACGAGUGGCGGACGGGUGAGUAAUGUCUGGGAAACUACCUGAUGGAGGGGGAUAACUACUGGAAACGGUAGCUAAUACCGCAUAACGUCGCAAGACCAAAGAGGGGGACCUUCGGGCCUCUUGCCAUCGGAUGUGCCCAGAUGGGAUUAGCUAGUA